GCUGGGUGCAGUGGCUCACGUCUUUAAUUCCAGCACUUUGAGAAGCUGAGGCGGGUGGAUCACUUGAGGCCAGGUGUUCAAGACCAGCCUCGGCAAUGUGGAGAAACCCUGGCUCUACUAAAAAUACAAAAAUUAGCCAGGAGUGAUGGCAGGCACCUGUAAUCCCAGCUACUCAGGAGNNNNNNNNNNCUCCUGAGUAGCUGGGAUUACAGGUGCCUGCCAUCACUCCUGGCUAAUUUUUGUAUUUUUAGUAGAGCCAGGGUUUCUCCACAUUGCCGAGGCUGGUCUUGAACACCUGGCCUCAAGUGAUCCACCCGCCUC
Gorilla gorilla gorilla (western lowland gorilla) is the source of this 321-nucleotide non-coding RNA. The record is from Rfam. NCBI's taxonomy places the organism in Eukaryota, Metazoa, Chordata, Mammalia, Primates, Hominidae.